GAUGAACGCUGGCGGCGUGCCUAAUACAUGCAAGUCGAGCGAACGGACGAGAAGCUUGCUUCUCUGAUGUUAGCGGCGGACGGGUGAGUAACACGUGGAUAACCUACCUAUAAGACUGGGAUAACUUCGGGAAACCGGAGCUAAUACCGGAUAAUAUUUUGAACCGCAUGGUUAAAAAGUGAAAGACGGUCUUGCUGUCACUUAUAGAUGGAUCCGCGCUGCAUUAGCUAGUUGGUAAGGUAACGGCUUACCAAGGCAACGAUGCAUAGCCGACCUGAGAGGGUGAUCGGCCACACUGGAACUGAGACACGGUCCAGACUCCUACGGGAGGCAGCAGUAGGGAAUCUUCCGCAAAGGGCGAAAGCCUGACGGAGCAACGCCGCGUGAGUGAUGAAGGUCUUCGGAUCGUAAAACUCUGUUAUUAGGGAAGAACAUAUGUGUAAGUAACUGUGCACAUCUUGACGGUACCUAAUCAGAAAGCCACGGCUAACUACGUG
RNAcentral lists this ribosomal RNA (497 nucleotides) under uncultured bacterium. Its description in RNAcentral is "partial 16S ribosomal RNA". It matches the Rfam family "Bacterial small subunit ribosomal RNA", at positions 28 to 507 of the family's 1533-position model. The record is from RNAcentral.